Molecule: long non-coding RNA, 533 nt
Organism: Pantherophis guttatus
Lineage: Eukaryota; Metazoa; Chordata; Lepidosauria; Squamata; Colubridae
Source: RefSeq, a predicted model, not a curated record
GACAGUGCUAAGCAAAGAGCAAGUGAAAGGAAGGGAGGAGGAAGGCACGGCUCAGAGGCUGGACUUGCGACAGCAGCGAGGAGGCGCUUAAGCCUCGCCUUCGGAUUUAAGAAAGCCGCCUUUUCCUUUCCCGGAGCUUGUUGUUUACAACGGCGAUUGGAUUUCCUCCAAGCCCGGUACGCGGGGAUAAAGCAAGGGAAAAGGGAGCUUGGGUAAGAACUCCUAAUCCGAUUAGCGGCUAAUCUCUCAGAGUGGACGUUUCCUUUCUCUCGCCGUGACAUAAAGUGAAGCGCGUUGGGUUAGGCCGGAAGUGCUUCUUGAUGAAGUUAAUACAAGUGUGUACAGAAUUGGCAAAGAGGAUCCUUACAAAAUAAGAAUUCCAGUGCUCAGGUGAGCUACUCCACACUUCAAGAAACAAACAACACUAGCGAGAAUUGGAAAUAUUUAUUUACCAAAAAUAUGUAUUUGAGACCAAAUUUUCUUGGUGUACAUGAAAUGUUUAUUUAAUUAAAGGCAUUUUUUUCACAGAAUGA